Triticum aestivum (bread wheat) is the source of this 125-nucleotide non-coding RNA. NCBI's taxonomy places the organism in Eukaryota, Viridiplantae, Streptophyta, Magnoliopsida, Poales, Poaceae. The record is from Rfam.
UUAGUACUCCCUCGGUCCGGAAAUACUUGUCGGACAAAUGGGUAAAAAUGGAUGUAUCUCAAACUAAAAUACGUCUAGAUACACUCAUUUCUCCGACAAGUAUUUUCGGACGGAGGGAGUACAAU